Molecule: ribosomal RNA, 518 nt
Filed under: uncultured bacterium
Lineage: Bacteria
Description: bacterial SSU rRNA
Rfam family: Bacterial small subunit ribosomal RNA
Source: RNAcentral
GAGUUUGAUCCUGGCUCAGGAUGAACGCUAGCGGCGGGCAUAAUACAUGCAAGUCGAACGGGAUAAGUUGUAGCAAUACGACUUUGAGAGUGGCGCACGGGUGCGUAACACGUAUGCAACUUGCCCUUAACAGGGGGAUAGCUUUCGGAAACGAAAAUUAAUACCCCAUAUUAUUACUUAUAUGCAUGUAUGAGUAAUGAAAGCUACGGCGGUUAAGGAUGGGCAUGCGGCUGAUUAGCUAGUUGGCGAGGUAAAGGCUCACCAAGGCGACGAUCAGUAGGGGGUCUGAGAGGAUGUCCCCCCACACUGGUACUGAGACACGGACCAGACUCCUACGGGAGGCAGCAGUAGGGAAUAUUGGUCAAUGGAGGCAACUCUGAACCAGCCACGCCGCGUGCAGGAUGAAGGCCCUCUGGGUUGUAAACUGCUUUUGUUAGGGAAAAAACCCCUCGAUGCGUUGAGGGUUGAUGGUACCUAAAGAAUAAGGAUCGGCUAACUCCGUGCCAGCAGCCGCGGUA